GACGAACGCUGGCGGCGUGCCUAAUACAUGCAAGUCGAGCGGACCAAACAGGAGCUUGCUCUUGUUCGGUUAGCGGCGGACGGGUGAGUAACACGUGGGUAACCUGCCCGUAAGACCGGGAUAACUCCGGGAAACCGGAGCUAAUACCGGAUAACACCGAAGACCGCAUGGUCUUUGGUUGAAAGGCGGCUUCGGCUGCCACUUACGGAUGGGCCCGCGGCGCAUUAGCUAGUUGGUGAGGUAACGGCUCACCAAGGCGACGAUGCGUAGCCGGCCUGAGAGGGUGACCGGCCACACUGGGACUGAGACACGGCCCAGACUCCUACGGGAGGCAGCAGUAGGGAAUCUUCCGCAAUGGACGAAAGUCUGACGGAGCGACGCCGCGUGAGCGAAGAAGGUCUUCGGAUCGUAAAGCUCUGUUGUUAGGGAAGAAGAAGCGUCGUUCGAACAGGGCGGCGCGGUGACGGUACCUAACGAGAAAGCCCCGGCUAACUACGUG
Molecule: ribosomal RNA, 499 nt
Filed under: uncultured bacterium
Lineage: Bacteria
Description: partial 16S ribosomal RNA
Rfam family: Bacterial small subunit ribosomal RNA
Source: RNAcentral